GGCGGUGUCAACGAGUCAGACCUUCUGGCCUGAAAAGGUUGGGUAAACUGGUCAAUCACCGUCAUGACAGGGAUCGGGGCUUGGAAUUGUUCCCCGUGAACGAGGAAUUCCUAGUAAGUGCAAGUCAUAAGCUUGCGCUGAUUACGUCCCUGCCCUUUGUACACACCGCCCGUCGCUACUACCGAUUGAAUGGUUUAGUAAGGUCCUUGGAUUGGCGCCACUUAGGUUGUCCUCCGAAAGGAGCCUGCCUAGCCGGUGCUGAGAAGACGACCAAAC
This 276-nucleotide ribosomal RNA is filed under the name Vigisolepis spinulosa. RNAcentral describes it as "partial 18S ribosomal RNA". It matches the Rfam family "Eukaryotic small subunit ribosomal RNA", at positions 1505 to 1764 of the family's 1831-position model. Lineage: Eukaryota; Metazoa; Platyhelminthes; Cestoda; Cyclophyllidea; Hymenolepididae. The record is from RNAcentral.